ACACCGGCAGCCCUAGUGGUAGCUGUUUUUAUUGGGCCUAAAGCGUUCGUAGCCGGUUUGAUAAGUCACUGGUGAAAUCCUGUAGCUUAACUGUGGGAAUUGCUGGUGAUACUGUUGAACUUGAGGUCGGGAGAGGUUAGCGGUACUCCCAGGGUAGAGGUGAAAUUCUGUAAUCCUGGGAGGACCACCUGUGGCGAAGGCGGCUAACUGGAACGAACCUGACGGUGAGGGACGAAAGCUAGGGGCGCGAACCGGAUUAGAUACCCGGGUAGUCCUAGCCGUAAACGAUGCGGACUUGGUGUUGGGAUGGCUUUGAGCCGCUCCGGUGCCGAAGGGAAGCUGUUAAGUCCGCCGCCUGGGAAGUACGGUCGCAAGACUGAAACUUAAAUGAAUUGGCGGGG
RNAcentral lists this ribosomal RNA (401 nucleotides) under uncultured bacterium. Its description in RNAcentral is "partial 16S ribosomal RNA". It matches the Rfam family "Archaeal small subunit ribosomal RNA", at positions 473 to 873 of the family's 1478-position model. The record is from RNAcentral.